Molecule: transfer RNA, 73 nt
Filed under: Bos taurus (domestic cattle)
Lineage: Eukaryota; Metazoa; Chordata; Mammalia; Artiodactyla; Bovidae
Also listed under: 4 other names
Rfam family: tRNA
About the family: Transfer RNA (tRNA) molecules are approximately 80 nucleotides in length. Their secondary structure includes four short double-helical elements and three loops (D, anti-codon, and T loops).
Source: Rfam by way of RNAcentral
UUCUUGGUGGUCCAGUGGCUGGGACUCUGUGCUCCCAAUGCAGGGGGCCUGGGUUCAAGCCCUGGUCAGAGAA